This 253-nucleotide ribosomal RNA is filed under the name uncultured bacterium. RNAcentral's name for it is "partial 16S ribosomal RNA". It matches the Rfam family "Bacterial small subunit ribosomal RNA", at positions 524 to 776 of the family's 1533-position model. The record is from RNAcentral.
UACGAAGGGGGCUAGCGUUGCUCGGAAUCACUGGGCGUAAAGGGCGCGUAGGCGGCGUUUUUAAGCGGGGGUGAAAGCCUGUGGCUCAACCACAGAAUGGCCUUCGAUACUGGGACGCUUGAGUAUGGUAGAGGUUGGUGGAACUGCGAGUGUAGAGGUGAAAUUCGUAGAUAUUCGCAAGAACACCGGUGGCGAAGGCGGCCAACUGGACCAUCACUGACGCUGAGGCGCGAAAGCGUGGGGAGCAAACAGG